UUGAGAAAUAUGCUCUUUUGAAGAAACUGCCAGUUUAGCAUUUCUUCCCCCUUUUUACUUCUCAGCCCCCAGGAGCACCACCAAAUAUUAUUCACUUGGGCUGCCAAGCCAUGGAGCACUGCUAGGCCUGAUUUGGGCACCGGGACUCCUCGACACUCUCAAGCAGGUGGUUGUGCUAAUGAACCUCACACAAACACAGUUCAGACAACUUGAGGGAAAUGGCACUUACUGGACUCACAACCUGGGCUUUGUGACAAGACUUGAAAGGUUUGUUUUCUUUGGGAAAAAGAAAAUAUUUUGGAACUCCCCCUCUCCCCCCUGCCAAGACCUCUCUGGGAUGACUUGAAAGGCCAUACAUGUUAUCCUCCAAAGAAGUGUGACUCAAGAGUCCAAAAAAUUAGUUGGAUUGCCUCUCAGCCAUUGACAGCAUCAGAGCUCUGGACAUAUUACUCCUGAAAAUACAAAGUGCUCUCUGGGGAAAGAAGCAAGAAGACAAACAUCACACCAUCAACUUGAGGUUGGUUUCAAUCAGGGGGACCUUCCACCUCUGCAUCUGCCUCUUCACAGACCCUUGACCCAAUCCAAAAAUUCUCUCCAAAUCUACAAAUGCCCCAGAAGCUGAAGAACAGAUCACCUUUGGCACUUAAAGGGGACCAUCCAAGAGUAGCUAGUACAAUAACGAUUUUUCUAGAUAGAUUUCCAAGAGGACUCUCACCAUUUUGGAAGCAGUGGGGACCAGAAAAAUUUUAGCACAGGUUGCAAGAGCUCUUGGACGUUGUCAUCUCAUUCACUUGAUAUGAAAGAAAGACAUUGCCUUUGUGUACAGGAUGGAAAACAACCCAGGUCCACUCAGCUUGUCCUCAUACAGUUAUUCCUCCAUUCCUCCAAAGGCAUUUACUGAGCAUUCACUAUAUGUACAACACUGAAUUAAAGGCUUAAGAUUGUACAUAGGAGUAACAAUUAGAGACAGUCCCUGCCCACUGAUAGGCUGACAGUCUAAUUGAGGGAGACAGACAACAAUAGCAAUAAAAAAAAUCAAAGGGGUGUACAUCACACUGACAAAAUAACUAGAGUAAUAAAAAUAUACACAAAUGAACACACAAGCACAUUGUUGCAGGAUGGGGA
This 1125-nucleotide long non-coding RNA is filed under the name Ornithorhynchus anatinus (platypus). Its description in RNAcentral is "lncRNA (ENSOANG00000039688.1)". Lineage: Eukaryota; Metazoa; Chordata; Mammalia; Monotremata; Ornithorhynchidae. The record is from RNAcentral.